CUUGCUCCCUGAUGUUAGCGGCGGACGGGUGAGUAACACGUGGGUAACCUGCCUGUAAGACUGGGAUAACUCCGGGAAACCGGGGCUAAUACCGGAUGGUUGUUUGAACCGCAUGGUUCAAACAUAAAAGGUGGCUUCGGCUACCACUUACAGAUGGACCCGCGGCGCAUUAGCUAGUUGGUGAGGUAACGGCUCACCAAGGCAACGAUGCGUAGCCGACCUGAGAGGGUGAUCGGCCACACUGGGACUGAGACACGGCCCAGACUCCUACGGGAGGCAGCAGUAGGGAAUCUUCCGCAAUGGACGAAAGUCUGACGGAGCAACGCCGCGUGAGUGAUGAAGGUUUUCGGAUCGUAAAGCUCUGUUGUUAGGGAAGAACAAGUACCGUUCGAAUAGGGCGGUACCUUGACGGUACCUAACCAGAAAGCCACGGCUAACUACGUGCCAGCAGCCGCGGUAAUACGUAGGUGGCAAGCGUUGUCCGGAAUUAUUGGGCGUAAAGGGCUCGCAGGCGGUUUCUUAAGUCUGAUGUGAAAGCCCCCGGCUCAACCGGGGAGGGUCAUUGGAAACUGGGGAACUUGAGUGCAGAAGAGGAGAGUGGAAUUCCACGUGUAGCGGUGAAAUGCGUAGAGAUGUGGAGGAACACCAGUGGCGAAGGCGACUCUCUGGUCUGUAACUGACGCUGAGGAGCG
Molecule: ribosomal RNA, 692 nt
Filed under: Bacillus subtilis
Lineage: Bacteria; Bacillati; Bacillota; Bacilli; Caryophanales; Bacillaceae
Also listed under: 1 other name
Description: bacterial SSU rRNA
Rfam family: Bacterial small subunit ribosomal RNA
Source: RNAcentral